GAGGGUAUAGCUCAGAGGUAGAGCACAUGCUUAGCAUGCAUGAGGUCCUGGGUUUAAUCCCCAGUACCUCCA
Molecule: transfer RNA, 72 nt
Filed under: Camelus bactrianus (Bactrian camel)
Lineage: Eukaryota; Metazoa; Chordata; Mammalia; Artiodactyla; Camelidae
Also listed under: 2 other names
Rfam family: tRNA
About the family: Transfer RNA (tRNA) molecules are approximately 80 nucleotides in length.
Source: Rfam by way of RNAcentral